Molecule: ribosomal RNA, 450 nt
Filed under: uncultured bacterium
Lineage: Bacteria
Description: bacterial SSU rRNA
Rfam family: Bacterial small subunit ribosomal RNA
Source: RNAcentral
ACUCCUACGGGAGGCAGCAGUGGGGAAUAUUGUACAAUGGGCGCAAGCCUGAUGCAGCAACGCCGUGUGAGUGAAGAAGGUUUUCGGAUCGUAAAACUCUGUCCUAAGGGAAGAAACAAAUGACGGUACCUUAGGAGGAAGCCCGGCUAACUACGUGCCAGCAGCCGCGGUAAUACGUAGGGGGCAAGCGUUAUCCGGAAUCACUGGGGCGUAAAGGGUGCGUAGGCGGCUUAGCAAGCCAGGGGUGAAAGGCAUUGGCUCAACCAAUGUAAGCCUUUGGAACUGUUAAGCUUGAGUGCAGGAGAGGUAAGUGGAAUUCCUAGUGUAGAGGUGAAAUUCGUAGAUAUUAGGAGGAACACCAGUGGCGAAGGCGACUUACUGGACUGUAACUGACGCUGAUGCACGAAAGCGUGGGUAGCGAACAGGAUUAGAUACCCUGGUAGCACAGAG